Molecule: ribosomal RNA, 253 nt
Filed under: uncultured bacterium
Lineage: Bacteria
Description: partial 16S ribosomal RNA
Rfam family: Bacterial small subunit ribosomal RNA
Source: RNAcentral
UACGUAGGGGGCAAGCGUUGUCCGGAAUCAUUGGGCGUAAAGCGCGUGUAGGCGGUUCGAUAAGUCUGCUGUGAAAGUCCAGGGCUCAACCCUGGAAAGCCGGUGGAUACUGUCGGACUAGAGUGCGGAAGAGGCGAGUGGAAUUCCCGGUGUAGCGGUGAAAUGCGCAGAUAUCGGGAGGAACACCAAUUGCGAAGGCAGCUCGCUGGGACGGUACUGACGCUGAGACGCGAAAGCGUGGGGAGCGAACAGG